UGGAGACAUCAUCCACCUGAAUGUCGGAGGGAAGAGGUUCAGCACGUCCCGACAGACGCUGACGUGGGUUCCUGACUCCUUUUUCUCCAGUCUUUUGAGCGGUCGCAUCUCGACUCUGAAGGAUGAAACUGGAGCGGUGAGUAUCGAGGAUUUGUUUUUUAAUGACCUCUCAGUGAUGAAGUUCUGACAUC
Labrus bergylta (ballan wrasse) is the source of this 191-nucleotide non-coding RNA. NCBI's taxonomy places the organism in Eukaryota, Metazoa, Chordata, Actinopteri, Labriformes, Labridae. The record is from RefSeq and is a predicted model, not a curated record.